UCGAGAAUCUUCCACAAUGGACGAAAGUCUGAUGGAGCGACGCCGCGUGAUGGAUGAAGACCUUCGGGUUGUAAACAUCUUUUAUGAGGGAAGAAGUUUAUUGACGGUACCUCAGGAAUAAGGGGUUGCUAAACUCGUGCCAGCAGCAGCGGUAAUACGAGUGCCCCGAGCGUUAUCCGGAAUUACUGGGUGUAAAGGGUGCGUAGGCGGCGAUAUUAGUCUUUCGUGAAAGCCCCAGGCUCAACCUGGGAAACGCGAAAGAAACGGUAUUGCUAGAGAAUGUGAGGGGUUUGCGGAACUCAAGGUGUAGGGGUGAAAUCCGUUGAUAUCUUGGGGAACACCAAAAGCGAAGGCAGCAAACUGGCGCAUUUCUGACGCUCAAGCACGAAAGCGUGGGUAG
This 400-nucleotide ribosomal RNA is filed under the name uncultured bacterium. RNAcentral's name for it is "bacterial SSU rRNA". It matches the Rfam family "Bacterial small subunit ribosomal RNA", at positions 355 to 768 of the family's 1533-position model. The record is from RNAcentral.